UGCGUAGGCGGGCUAAUAAGUCAGUGGUGAAAUAUUCCGGCUCAACCGGGAGACUGCCAUUGAUACUGUUAGUCUUGAGUUCGGCUGAGGUAGGCGGAAUGUGUAAUGUAGCGGUGAAAUGCUUAGAUGUUACACAGAACACCAAUUGCGUAGGCAGCUUACUAGACCGACACUGACGCUGAGGCACGAAAGCGUGGGGAGCGAACAGGAUUAGAUACCCUGGUAGUC
This 228-nucleotide ribosomal RNA is filed under the name uncultured bacterium. Its description in RNAcentral is "partial 16S ribosomal RNA". It matches the Rfam family "Bacterial small subunit ribosomal RNA", at positions 568 to 795 of the family's 1533-position model. The record is from RNAcentral.